GACGAACGCUGGCGGCGUGCUUAACACAUGCAAGUCGAACGGAAAGGCCCUGCUUUUGUGGGGUGCUCGAGUGGCGAACGGGUGAGUAACACGUGAGUAACCUGCCCUUGACUUUGGGAUAACUUCAGGAAACUGGGGCUAAUACCGGAUAGGAGCUCCUGCUGCAUGGUGGGGGUUGGAAAGUUUCGGCGGUUGGGGAUGGACUCGCGGCUUAUCAGCUUGUUGGUGGGGUAGUGGCUUACCAAGGCUUUGACGGGUAGCCGGCCUGUGAGGGUGACCGGCCACAUUGGGACUGAGGUACGGCCCAGACUCCUACGGGAGGCAGCAGUGGGGAAUAUUGCACAAUGGGCGGAAGCCUGAUGCAGCAACGCUGCGUGCGGGAUGACGGCCUUCGGGUUGUAAACCGCUUUCGCCUGUGACGAAGCGUGAGUGACGGUAAUGGGUAAAGAAGCACCGGCUAACUACGUG
Molecule: ribosomal RNA, 468 nt
Filed under: uncultured bacterium
Lineage: Bacteria
Description: partial 16S ribosomal RNA
Rfam family: Bacterial small subunit ribosomal RNA
Source: RNAcentral